UGGGAUCUUCCCAAACCAGGGAUCAAACCCGUAUCUCCUGCAUUAGCAGGCAAAAUUCUUUACCACUGAGCCACCAGGGAAGCCCCAGGUUAUGCAUUUUGACAAGAACACCACAGAAGUGAUGCUGUGCGCUUCUCAGCACAUCAUAUCAGGCAGCACACGAGGCCAAUAAGCUGUUACUUGUUGAUUCUGAUCACCCGAGUUAGGUGGGGUCUGCAGGUUUUUCCACUGUAAAGUUAUUCUUUUCCCCGUUGAGUUAAUAGGCAUCUCAUGGGGAACUACUUUGAGAUGAUGUAAACAUCCUGUUUCUCAUCUUAUUUUCACGCAAAUGUUUGUUUCCGCUGAUGAGUCUUGCUUAAAACAAUCACGACCGUGGGUGUCUGCCAAGGGGUGGUUUUCUAUUUCCUUCACGCCUUCGAAUAUUCAACAGUCAGAAUUUUUUCUGUAAGAAGGCUCUCCCUUUUCCCUUAUUUGUUUACUCAAAUAUUUACUGUAUCAUUACAGACGUAUUAUUUCCUAUUUUUCCCUCUUAUUCUGGAUUGUAUCCGGGGAGGUGGCUUGACCCUCAGAGUUAUGGAGUGACGAAACCCCUCGGCCUGGAGACCAUCUAAGCGAGACUGGCUGUCGUUUGGACUGGUUUGCUGUUGUUUUUUUCAACCCAGGGCCUCGGUAAAGUCUUGCGGGGAUGCCCAAUAGAUGACUGAUGAGGCCACAGCCUGGGUUUCCUUGUCCGUUUCCUUUGUUAUCACAGCAGGCAAAGAGAUAGAGACCAGUCUUCCAGGCCCUUCUGUGGCAGGACCUCUUGGCAGGUCAUAGGGCCUCUUUCAACUCUGCCAUUGGUGGAAAAGCAGACACAGAUGACACAGAAAUGAAUAAACGUGGCUGCGCUCCAAUGAAGCUUCAUUUAUGGACCCUGAAAUUUGAAUAUCAUGUAAUUUUCACAUAUCACAAAAUAUUCUCCAUUUUUUCCAAACAUUUAGAAAAGUGUAAACCACAUUACCUCACACGCAAUACAAAAAUGUAGUAUUUCAAUUUCAGAUAAACCGUAACAUAUUCAAGCACUAUCCUGUUGGUGGACUUCCAGCCUAGUUCCAGGCCUUUGCUAUUACAGAAAAUACUGCGGUGUAGACACCUGCCCAUACAUCAUGCCACAUACAGGUGACGUCUCUGUAGGAUACAUCUGGGGACAAGUUUGAUCAAAUCUGAACAGGCUUUCUACUCCUCCCAGGCACCUCCAUCCCUUUCCUCCUCUCUUUAAAGUCUUCAUCUUGCUCCCUGAGUACUAAUCAGUUAACAUCACAUAUACUCAGAGCUUCACAAGCUCAAACCCUGGCAUGUUUCUGCAGUGAUGCUCUAACCAGUUGGCCCUGCCCCAGGCCAGUCCCUGGCGUAGAUCUCACCUGAACUUUGGACUCCUAGUGGGAUCCUGACUUGACUCUGUCACUGCUCCAGCCCUUCCUCAGGGAGCCCCGGAGGAUGCAUCAAAGUCACCAGUCUAUUUCUGAUGACUUCUCAUUGGCUUCUCCAAGGGAAGCCAGCGUUCACUGUGCAAGAAAAGCCACAACCCUUAGAGGGGCAUUUAACACGGCCACCCCACCCAUGGUCUGACCCUUCCUGUGACAGCUUCCCUAG
Bubalus bubalis (water buffalo) is the source of this 1632-nucleotide long non-coding RNA. RefSeq lists it as uncharacterized. Lineage: Eukaryota; Metazoa; Chordata; Mammalia; Artiodactyla; Bovidae. The transcript is spliced from 4 exons. The record is from RefSeq and is a predicted model, not a curated record.